RNAcentral lists this ribosomal RNA (253 nucleotides) under uncultured bacterium. RNAcentral describes it as "partial 16S ribosomal RNA". It matches the Rfam family "Bacterial small subunit ribosomal RNA", at positions 524 to 776 of the family's 1533-position model. The record is from RNAcentral.
UACGGGGGGAGCAAGCGUUGUUCGGAUUUACUGGGCGUAAAGGGCGCGUAGGCGGCCACCGCAAGUCGACUGUGAAAUCUCCGGGCUUAACCCGGAAAGGUCAGCCGAUACUGCGGGGCUAGAGUGCAGAAGGGGCAACUGGAAUUCUCGGUGUAGCGGUGAAAUGCGUAGAGAUCAGGAAGAACACCGGUGGCGAAGGCGCUCUGCUAGGCCGCAACUGACACUGAGGACGAAAGCUAGGGGAGCGAACAGG